AUCACUCGCGGAAUCGUGAUUCUUUGAAAUUUGAACUAAAAUACAGACUACAGUCUUACACAGUUCUAUUCAUACGUUUUAGUGCAAAAUCACCAUGCGAAAGUGUAUUCUUUUUAGUAAAACAUCAAAAAAAGCGCCUCGCAACAUUGCGUUAAUUUUCAUUUAUUUCCAAGAAAUCAAUGAAAUAGAAGGAAACAAUGGCUAAAGAUCUUCGAAUUAAAUGAUUAUACCGAUGUCUACCCGGCAUAGAUUCCGCGGUAAUCAUUUCACAAUUAAUGAUUGUAAACAAUGCUCAGUAAACUAGUAAACAUGGUCAGAGGCUGUCUCAAAACAUAACCCAAACCACUUGUCUGGGAUAGAGAAGUAUUUGUAUAUUUUGAAAAUUAUAUUUCUCCAAUGAUGGGUUUGAAGAAAAUGAACAGACAAAUAAAGGAUUUGGAGACGUUAAAGUUGAAGAAUUUAAUUCAUCCAGAAAAGCAUUAGAUACUUAAUGAUGUCUAAUUCACAUACACUUAUUUCAUCCAGUGGAUUAUACUUAUGGUUUUCCAAACUGAAAUAUAUUAUGUACCACAUACAAGAAACUAGGAAUUCGAGCCAAUGUAUUGACAAUUUUUCAAACGUUGACUUUCUUGAAGAUAAUUCUACUGACUCAGAUUAAGCCACACAAUAUUCGAUGAAAUAGAAGGAAACAAUGGGUAGAAAUCUUCGAAUUAAAUGAUUAUUGUAAACAAUGCUCAGUAAACUAGUAAACAUAACCAGAGGCUGUCUCAAAACAUAAUCCAAACCACUUGCCUGGGAUAGAGAAGUAAAAUACAUUUUAGUAAUUUACAGCAACAUUGGUACUACUCUCAGCACCACUAGUAAAUCGUAUCUAAGAGAUAAAAUUAAUAUAACAUAAUUCAUGAAUUUAUGUUGUACUUAUAUAUUUUUUACAACUUGACAUUUUCAGAAAAUUGUGUUUUUCCAAAAAUGAGUUACAAUAAAAUGAACAGACGAAUAAAGGAUUUGGAUGCCUUACAGUCGAUGGUUUUAAUUCACCCAGAAAAGCCUUAGAUACUUAAUAAUGUCUAAUUCACAUACACAUAUUUCAUCCAGUGGAUGAUACUUAUGGUUUUCCAAACUGAAAUAUAUUAUGUACCACAUACAAGAAACUAGGAAUUCGAGCCAAUGUAUUGACAAUUUUUCAAACGUUGACUUUCUUGAAGAUAAUUCUACCGACUCAGAUUAAGCCAUACAAUAUUGGAGCGAAUUAUAAAACUUAAAGGUUACACAAUUUUGCUGAGCAAAAAUCCAAUUUUAAUAACACAGAGGACCUCAACAUAUUUAAAAUGCAAUGAAACACAUAACUAGUUUGGAUAUUGGUAUAUUUUCUGAAGGAGUUUACACACAGAUUUUGCCCGUCUCUUAUUUAAACAAUUGGUUCAAAAGCCACCUCAAGCUGUUAUAACACAAUAUGCCAUUUGUAAAUCCGUGACUAUUGAACAAGAUUUGUUGACAAAGGCUUUACUUGUUAGGAUGGUUGACUUGAGCUGUGAAAAGAUGUCUAUAUAUAUUGAAUCUGUUACUGAUAUGCUGUUUUUGAAUUGGUGAAUCCUACAGUUUACAGGUCGUCAAACCCGUACCCAUUUACAACAAGGAAAGACAAACUUCUUUGAAAAAAAAAAUUGGCGAUUACCAAAAAGCUUCAGUGGCUGUUAUUAAAAUUCCUCAACUAUCAACAAUGGACAUAAUUGAUGAAGACUUUUAAAUAAGUAUAUUCUGAUAGGUACCUAUUUCCUUUUAUUUGUGUACUUAUUUUUCCUAUAUUUCAACACACUACACAUCAGAAAGUAUAUAAUAAAAAAGAAAAAGUUUACACACAUAUUUUGCCUGUGUCUCCUUCUAAACAAUUGGAUCACAAGCCACCUUCAACUGUUAUCACAUAUAUGUUUGGUGAAAUCGUAACUAUUGUAAAGAUUUUUUGAUUAAUGCUUAACCUGUCAGAAUGGUUGGCAUGAGCAUGAGCUGUGAAAAGAUAUAUUAUAAUAUUGAAGAUAUUGCUGAUAGGCUGUUAAAAUUAGCGGGGUCCUAUUGUUUACUGGUCGUUAAACCUGUUCCCACACACGGAACUUACUUCUCAACAAGGAACAACAAACUUUGAAAGAAGACUCAGCGAACACCAAUUACCUUAAAUUAUUGCACUCUGAAUCGUAUUUGUCAAUGGCA
Metopolophium dirhodum (rose-grain aphid) is the source of this 2205-nucleotide long non-coding RNA. RefSeq lists it as uncharacterized. The transcript is spliced from 10 exons. The record is from RefSeq and is a predicted model, not a curated record. Lineage: Eukaryota; Metazoa; Arthropoda; Insecta; Hemiptera; Aphididae.